UGGGGGAUAUUGCACAAUGGGGGGAAACCCGUGAUGCAGCGACGCCGCGUGGGCGAAGAAGUAUUUCGGUAUGUAAAGCCCUAUCAGCAGGGAAGAAGAAAUGACGGUACCUGAGUAAGAAGCACCGGCUAAAUACGUGCC
This 141-nucleotide ribosomal RNA is filed under the name uncultured bacterium. RNAcentral's name for it is "partial 16S ribosomal RNA". It matches the Rfam family "Bacterial small subunit ribosomal RNA", at positions 355 to 509 of the family's 1533-position model. The record is from RNAcentral.